Molecule: long non-coding RNA, 461 nt
Filed under: Malus domestica (apple)
Lineage: Eukaryota; Viridiplantae; Streptophyta; Magnoliopsida; Rosales; Rosaceae
Description: long non-coding RNA (MDOM_LNC020132)
Source: RNAcentral
UUCUUCUAAGAUCAAGCCCCGACGGCCCUUUGGAUCAACAAUCAUCCACCUUCAAGCCCAAGCCUCAACGGCCCAUUGAAGAAAGCGUUCAUCGUUCAUCGUUCAUCAACUGUUCAUCCUCAAGGAUCAAGCCCCAACGGCCCCUUUGGAUCGACAACAUCAACGAAUCCGCUCAUCCGCUGUUCAUCAAGCCCAAGCCUCGACGGCCCUUGAAGAAAGCGUUCAUCGUUCAUCGUUCAUCAACUGUUCAUCCUCAAGAUCAAGCCCCGACGGCUCCUUGAAGAUCCGCUCAAAUCCACCUUCAAAGAUCAAGCCCACGGCCCUUUGAAGAAACUUCCAACUGUUCAUCCAAGAUCAAGCCUUGACGCCCCUUAGAUCAACGAAACACCUACCAAUCAACACCUUACGGAGAUCGAAUCAGAGGAUAAAUUUGAGAGAGAUUGUAACCCAAAAUCAUCAAA